Molecule: long non-coding RNA, 1111 nt
Organism: Ictalurus punctatus (channel catfish)
Lineage: Eukaryota; Metazoa; Chordata; Actinopteri; Siluriformes; Ictaluridae
Exons: 4
Source: RefSeq, a predicted model, not a curated record
CCCAGGUGUAAUUUGAUGUUUUGUAGGCUCUGGAUGUGGACCUUGUUGCUGAUCCUGAUUUCCCUGCUGUGAUUGAUAACGUUAUUGACUUUGUGAGUGAGACCGAACAGGCCUCGGAUAUCACAUCAGACAUGAUUCAAGUCAGUAUGGCGGAGACUGAACAUCUUACUGCUGACACGGCCUCUUCUGACUUGCAGAAACCAGCUGAUGAAGAGGAGUUAAAAGCUUAAAUGGUCACGCAUCUGUCCCUUAAAAUCGAGGACACGUCUGAAGACGACAUCAUCUUCUUGACGGAGUGGCAGGUUUCCCCGGCCGAGGUGAGCGAGCCCGGUAGUAAAGAGUAGCUGCGGCUAGACUACUUCAUCAGUCGGUGCUCUUUUUUUAAAUUUAUUUUAUUUAGACAUAUUCAGAACAGUUUGUUCAGAAGCGACGGUAAAGAAAAUUCAUUACAGCUUCGUUUUGGUUUAAUAAAAGGUUGAGUUUAAAAGUGCAUGUGUUACGUGUUGUGAUGAGGAAAACUAUCGAAACAUCAUUUUGUUUAGUAGUGUCUCGUACUUUUCCUUCAUUUUAUAUAGCACAAAAUAGUGGACCCGGUUCUUGUUCUUUACAGGUCCACAUCAGAAUUUCAGUAAAAAAUAAACAAGGUGCAAGUUUCACUGGUGCUUUUGAGAUUAAACAAUGCACACACAAAACAUGUUUCAUUCCCUUUUUUUAUUGCCAUUUAUAAAUCAUAUGUAAAACGGAUAUAAAUUACACAAUAAUUAUUACAGUCAGGCUUUUCAUGUGCCAGUGUUUUAUCUUCCUAUAGUUCAUUUGCAUCUCAGGAUUGUUUUUUAUUCCCAUACAAGACAAGUGACAAAACACUUCAAAUGGAAAUACAUGGAUUAAUUUAUAAAUUGUUUCAAAUAUAAAAUGACAUCGUAAAAUAUUUCAUUCUGAUUGUGGGCAUUUUGUAGUGUAAAGGCUUUAUAGAAAGCACUUUUCUUAUGUACAAUACCUCAAAAUGCAGUGCAAUAAAGUAGUAAAAUUAAAUGAUAAACAACGUAAUAGAAUGCACAGGACAAAUGAAAAGUUUGUGUGAGUUUGUGCCCAGGAGAAGAACCUGACGUGG